GUAGCCGCCACUGGUGGUAGCAUGGUGUUACGUGCCACCGUGCGCCUCCAGGGUGGAUGGCAGUAAUGGCACCCCACCUAAUGAGUGGCACCCAGGGCGGACUGCCCCCCCCCACUCCUCUAUUAGUACGCUACUGCUGACGCACAUACAGAUACACACACACUGAAAGGCACCAAGAGCAUUUGACACACGGUGCGGAUCCUGAAUUUGGCACCCCCUCCAAGUCCCCCCACCCACUUUAAAAUGCAAGAAAC
This is a non-coding RNA of Pelobates cultripes (western spadefoot toad), 254 nucleotides long. NCBI's taxonomy places the organism in Eukaryota, Metazoa, Chordata, Amphibia, Anura, Pelobatidae. The record is from the annotation of a GenBank genome assembly.